RNAcentral lists this ribosomal RNA (914 nucleotides) under uncultured marine archaeon. RNAcentral's name for it is "bacterial SSU rRNA". It matches the Rfam family "Archaeal small subunit ribosomal RNA", at positions 1 to 922 of the family's 1478-position model. The record is from RNAcentral.
UUCCGGUUGAUCCUGCCGGACCUGACUGCUAUCGGAUUGAUACUAAGCCAUGCGAGUCUUUGUAGUAAUACAAGGCAUACGGCUCAGUAACGCGUAGUCAACCUACCCUAUGGACAAGAAUAAUCUCGGGAAACUGAGCAUAAUUCUUGAUAGAUCAUAAUGCCUGGAAUGGUUUAUGGUUAAAAUGAUUCGUCGCCAUAGGAUGGGACUGCGGCCUAUCAGCUUGUUGGUGAGGUAAUGGCCCACCAAGGCGAUUACAGGUACGGGCUCUGAGAGGAGAAGCCCGGAGAUGGGUACUGAGACAAGGACCCAGGCCCUAUGGGGCGCAGCAGGCGAGAAAACUUUGCAAUGUGCGAAAGCACGACAAGGUUAGUCCGAGUGAUUUCUGCUAAAGAGAUCUUUUGCUAGUUAUAAAACCACUAGUGAAUAAGGGGUGGGCAAGUUCUGGUGUCAGCCGCCGCGGUAAAACCAGCACCUCAAGUGGUCAGGAUGAUUAUUGGGCCUAAAGCAUCCGUAGCCGGCUCUGUAAGUUUUCGGUUAAAUCCAUACGCUCAACGUAUGGGCUGCCGAAAAUACUGCAGAGAUAGGGAGUGGGAGAGGUAGACGGUACUCGGUAGGAAGGGGUAAAAUCCUUUGAUCUAUCGAUGACCACCUGUGGCGAAGGCGGUCUACCAGAACACGUUCGACGGUGAGGGAUGAAAGCUGGGGGAGCAAACCGGAUUAGAUACCCGGGUAGUCCCAGCUGUAAACGAUGCAGACUCGAUGAUGCGUUGGCAUAUAGCCAGUGCAGUGUCGCAGGGAAGCCGUUAAGUCUGCCGCCUGGGAAGUACGUACGCAAGUAUGAAACUUAAAGGAAUUGGCGGGGGAGCACCACAAGGGGUGAAGCCUGCGGUUCAAUUGGAUUCAACGCCGGG